AUUGAACGCUGGCGGAAUGCUUUACACAUGCAAGUCGAACGGCAGCACGGGGGCAACCCUGGUGGCGAGUGGCGAACGGGUGAGUAAUAUAUCGGAACGUGCCCAGUCGUGGGGGAUAACGUAGCGAAAGUUACGCUAAUACCGCAUACGAUCUACGGAUGAAAGCGGGGGAUCGCAAGACCUCGCGCGAUUGGAGCGGCCGAUAUCAGAUUAGGUAGUUGGUGGGGUAAAGGCUCACCAAGCCAACGAUCUGUAGCUGGUCUGAGAGGACGACCAGCCACACUGGGACUGAGACACGGCCCAGACUCCUACGGGAGGCAGCAGUGGGGAAUUUUGGACAAUGGACGCAAGUCUGAUCCAGCCAUUCCGCGUGCAGGACGAAGGCCUUCGGGUUGUAAACUGCUUUUGUACGGAACGAAAAAGCUCUUACUAAUACUAGGAGUCCAUGACGGUACCGUAAGAAUAAGCACCGGCUAACUACGUGCCAGCAGCCGCGGUAAUACGUAGGGUGCGAGCGUUAAUCGGAAUUACUGGGCGUAAAGCGUGCGCAGGCGGUUAUAUAAGACAGAUGUGAAAUCCCCGGGCUCAACCUGGGAACUGCAUUUGUGACUGUAUAGCUAGAGUGCGGCAGAGGGGGAUGGAAUUCCGCGUGUAGCAGUGAAAUGCGUAGAUAUGCGGAGGAACACCGAUGGCGAAGGC
RNAcentral lists this ribosomal RNA (699 nucleotides) under Pseudomonadota bacterium. RNAcentral's name for it is "bacterial SSU rRNA". It matches the Rfam family "Bacterial small subunit ribosomal RNA", at positions 28 to 722 of the family's 1533-position model. Lineage: Bacteria; Pseudomonadati; Pseudomonadota. The record is from RNAcentral.